Oncorhynchus masou masou (cherry salmon) is the source of this 629-nucleotide long non-coding RNA. RefSeq lists it as uncharacterized. The transcript has 2 exons. The record is from RefSeq and is a predicted model, not a curated record. NCBI's taxonomy places the organism in Eukaryota, Metazoa, Chordata, Actinopteri, Salmoniformes, Salmonidae.
GAGGUGGACAUCAGAGAGAUGGAGGCAGGCGGCAGGGAACUGUUGUAUCUAAUGAAGUCCGGUCCAUCGUCGUUGAUCAUGUGGUCAACAGAGGUCUGACCAUGACAGAGGACGACACAUUAGUUCACCCCAAUCUGAAAAGAUCAACUGGCAAAUUCCAUCAUGAGAACAUUUCACUAAGAAAAGCGAAUAGACAGAAGACCCCAUGGUGGUGGUCGCGUGCUGACUGACCAGCAGGAGAGGACAGUGGAGGAAAUGGUGAGGGACAGGAAUGAUACACUGACCAGCAGGAGAGGACAGUGGAGGAAAUGGUGAGGGACAGGAAUGAUACACUGACCAGCAGGAGAGGACAGUGGAGGAAAUGGUGAGGGACAGGAAUGAUACACUGACCAGCAGGAGAGGACAGUGGAGGAAAUGGUGAGGGACAGGAAUGAUAUAUAUACUGUAUACUAUUCAGGUACAUCACUAUAUACUGUAUACUAUUCAGGUACAUCACUACAUACUAUAUAAUAUUCAGGUACAACAUGGAGUUAGAACAGCCAGAUAGACCAGCUAACAGCAGAGAUACUGUAGACCAGUGAUCCAUGAACCUCAUUAUCACUAAGAGAAUAAAGUCCUGGUAAACCACA